CUUCUUCUUCGCUGUUUCUUGAUCACAGAGUGAAGUUUUCCCAUGGAUGAGCAUUUCCUCUGGAGCCUGCUGUUGGGAAACUCACCGCUGAAUCUUUGAUCAAGUGUGCUGUCAAGGGCAGGGAGAUUUGCAGCAGGAAGACUCCUCACUUCGCUUUGUUGUUCAAUCCUGCCCAGAAAAUGUUGUGCCUUCGCUGAAGGAAUACUCAUAGAACACAUUCCUGAAGUAUCGCUGUCUGAAUUUGUUUUCCUUCACAUCUGGCAAUAAGGAAGUUCAGGGACAUUUUUAGUGUAUAUUUCCUGGUGAUUCGCCAAUAAUAAACGUCAUGUUUCAGGUACACCUGUAAUCAACUUUUGUAAGUUGAGGGAACUGUAUUUCUCCUUAAUAGUAAAUAUACUGUUAUUAUAGAUACAAGCCCUGACAAGCUUGUUUUUUAUACUGAAAAAGUGUAUUGAUAAUAAAAGCAUCC
This 469-nucleotide long non-coding RNA is filed under the name Fukomys damarensis (Damara mole-rat). RNAcentral's name for it is "lncRNA (ENSFDAG00000032034.1)". The record is from RNAcentral. Lineage: Eukaryota; Metazoa; Chordata; Mammalia; Rodentia; Bathyergidae.